This 223-nucleotide long non-coding RNA is filed under the name Homo sapiens (human). RNAcentral describes it as "HSALNT0229285". The record is from RNAcentral. Lineage: Eukaryota; Metazoa; Chordata; Mammalia; Primates; Hominidae.
CUCUUUGCGAGGCUGAGUACCCAGAGGAAGAUGCCUCUGCUGUGCUCCAAGCCAUCCAGGUGGAGAACGCAGCCCUGCAGAGGGCGCUCCUCAGCAGAAAGGCCGAGCAGCCAGCCAGCCCACUGCAGGAUGCAGAAGGACCACCAGCAAAACCAUGGACCAGUCUGCUGGAGGAGAAGGAAGAGACCCUUGAGACAACAGCAGAAGCUUCUGAAAGUCCUCC